CCCCGCCCCCUCCAUUGACAUUAGGGCCAAGCACCUCCCCCGCUUGCUGUCCCUUCCCAACUAGAAGACCUGCACCGACAGGUUUUAAGGCGGCCGAUGUCAUUUGUACGCAGUUGCAGUGGGCGGUGUUCUGACUUUGCCCCCAGCCGAGGAGGAUUUGGAUUUGGAGGGGAGGGGAUUUGGAGAAAAAUAUAGGGGAGUGGGACUUGUAGCUGCGACUUCAGCCUUGAAAUCCCCAAAUAUGUGGCUUAUCCGGGGGUUUCUGACUGGGAGACCCGUUUUUCCCUUCCCGGGCUCCCUCUUGUCUUGUUCACUGGACUCCAAUUCAACAGGCAUUUAUUGAAUGCAUCCUCCAGGAAGAGAGCUCUGCGCCAGGUUGCUGAGCUCUGGUGCAGAGAUGGUGAAGGCAGGAAAAAAAGACUCAAAUAAUGUGUGCAUUCGAAAAGGUUCAAACACAUCGGGCCGUGAAGCCGGGAGGGAGCAGAUGCGACGGUGGGCUGAGGUGAGACAGUGAGGGACGGGGUUGAGAGGGGAUGGAAAAAGCUAAAAAUAUGAGAUUCGAGGCCAGGGGCCAAGUUCAUUCUGUCCCCUGAUCCAGGAAGGACAGGAAAUGCUGCACACAGCUACUGCUCGCUACCUCUCCUACUGGGAGACUACUGAGGCGGGAAGCAGAUUAGGCAAAUCUUCUGUCUUUCCACCACUCCCUCUCGUGCCCAGAGCACUCGAGACUGAAUUCUGUCCUGGUCUCUCUUCCCCUUCCCCCACUCCUGCCUCACACCUCCACUCUGCAAGAGGAGGGAAGAACCGAGAAGGAGUCAGUGGAUUGGAGAACCAAAUGGAGAACCAGGCUGCAAAGCGGUGACUAUUUAUAGGAAAAGGAGGACUGCAGGCAUUUUGAAAGUACAGGUGAGGAAUGCUCUAUCCCCUUAUCUGAAGAACUGCCAAAUCUUCCAGGCUGAUUUUCCCAGCUAAGCUAAGGAAGGUUUUUGCAAACAGGAGUUUCAAAAUAAAGGACACUGCUCUCUUGGACGGAAAGAA
Antechinus flavipes (yellow-footed antechinus) is the source of this 1038-nucleotide long non-coding RNA. RefSeq lists it as uncharacterized. The transcript has 2 exons. NCBI's taxonomy places the organism in Eukaryota, Metazoa, Chordata, Mammalia, Dasyuromorphia, Dasyuridae. The record is from RefSeq and is a predicted model, not a curated record.